GAUGAACGCUGGCGGCGUGCCUAAUACAUGCAAGUCGAGCGAACAGAUGAGGAGCUUGCUCCUCUGACGUUAGCGUCGGACGGGUGAGUAACACGUGGAUAACCUACCUAUAAGACUGGGAUAACUUCGGGAAACCGGAGCUAAUACCGAAUAAUAUAUUGAACCGCAUGGUUCAAUAGUGAAAGACGGUUUUGCUGUCACUUAUAGAUGGAUCCGCGCCGCAUUAGCUAGUUGGUAAGGUAACGGCUUACCAAGGCAACGAUGCGUAGCCGACCUGAGAGGGUGAUCGGCCACACUGGAACUGAGACACGGUCCAGACUCCUAAGGGAGGCAGCAGUAGGGAAUCUUCCGCAAUGGGCGAAAGCCUGACGGAGCAACGCCGCGUGAGUGAUGAAGGUCUUCGGAUCGUAAAACUCUGUUAUUAGGGAAGAACAAAUGUGUAAGUAAAUAUGCACGUCUUGACGGUACCUAAUCAGAAAGCAACGGCUAACUCCGUG
This 497-nucleotide ribosomal RNA is filed under the name uncultured bacterium. RNAcentral describes it as "partial 16S ribosomal RNA". It matches the Rfam family "Bacterial small subunit ribosomal RNA", at positions 28 to 507 of the family's 1533-position model. The record is from RNAcentral.